GCCCGCUUAGCUCAGUUGGUAGAGCACAUCAUUCGUAAUGAUGGGGCCGAUGGUUCGAAUCCGUCAGCGGGCACCA
RNAcentral lists this transfer RNA (76 nucleotides) under Acetobacter sp. RNAcentral describes it as "tRNA-Thr". It matches the Rfam family "tRNA". Rfam says of the family: Transfer RNA (tRNA) molecules are approximately 80 nucleotides in length. Lineage: Bacteria; Pseudomonadati; Pseudomonadota; Alphaproteobacteria; Acetobacterales; Acetobacteraceae. The record is from RNAcentral. RNAcentral also lists the same sequence under 9 other names.